RNAcentral lists this unclassified non-coding RNA (1842 nucleotides) under Hevea brasiliensis (rubber tree). Lineage: Eukaryota; Viridiplantae; Streptophyta; Magnoliopsida; Malpighiales; Euphorbiaceae. The record is from RNAcentral.
GCACUUCUUAAUUGAUCGCUGAGCCAUCCUCCUCAAUUCAACAUAGAGUGGUUAAUAAUUGUUGGUACAAUCACUCUCUUCUCUCCCUCACACUCUCUUUCUUUUCAAGUCAAGGGGGAGAGGGAACACCUAGAGACCCUCUCAUGGCUUCUCUGAUUAUGACUACGCUCAAAACCACUCUGCCACAUGUCUCCGAAGAUGUGUUCCCAAGAUACAGCAACCUAAACAAAUCUAAAACUUUCCUCGCUAUUGCAAGAAAACCCUUUUCACCAAAUAUUGGAAACACUGGUCUUAUCAAAUGUUCAUCGUCCAUCUCAAGUCUAACUCCACAACUAGACGAAACCUUAGUUUACCGAGAAGAUGAGAGGACUCUAAGCGAAAUAUGGAAGGAAAUCCAAGGCUCCGAUGACUGGGAAGGACUCCUAGAUCCCAUGAAUUCUCAUCUUCGCAAAGAAAUAAUCCGCUAUGGAGAAUUCUCCCAAGCAUGCUAUGAUUCUUUCGAUUUCGAUCCUCACUCUAAGUACUGUGGCACAUGCAAGUACCAAGGAGCUAAUUUCUUCGAUAAGCUAGAUAUGCAAGGCCAUGGUUACAAAAUAAGCAGGUAUCUCUACGCCACUUCAAAUAUUAACCUUCCAAAUUUCUUCCAGAAAUCUAAGCUGAGCAGCAUUUGGAGCAUCCAUGCAAAUUGGAUGGGUUACGUCGCUGUCACCACUGAUGAAAAGGAGAUCAAACGUCUGGGCCGCCGCGAUAUAGUCAUAGCAUGGAGAGGCACAGUCACUUAUCUUGAAUGGAUAUAUGAUCUUAAAGAUAUCCUUUGCUCUGCUAACUUCACCAGCGAUCCAUCCAUCAAAAUCGAGUUAGGGUUUUAUGAUUUAUACACUAAGAAAGAAAACUCCUGCAAGUACUGCACAUUUUCAGCUCGUGAACAAGUUUUAGCAGAGAUUAAGCGACUUCUUGAUUAUUAUAGAGGUGAAGAAAUUAGUAUAACAAUCACAGGUCACAGCCUAGGGGCAGCUUUGGCUAUAUUAAGUGCCUACGAUAUUGCAGAGAUGAGGCUUAAUUAUAUGGAUCAUGAAGAAUUAAGGAAUAAAAUUCCUAUCACCGUCUACUCUUUCGCUGGCCCUCGAGUGGGAAAUCUCAAGUUUAAAGAACGAUGCGAAGAGCUUGGAGUUAAAGUACUAAGAGUGAUUAAUGAGCAUGACAAGGUACCAACAGUUCCAGGGAUUUUUGCUAAUGAGAAAUUCCAGUAUCAAAAAUACGUGGAGGACACCAUUUCAUUUCCUUGGAGCUAUGCACAUGUGGGAGUGGAACUUGCAUUGGAUCACACCCACAGCCCAUUUCUAAAGCCAACAAAUGAUCUUGGUUGUGCACAUAAUCUGGAGGUUCAUUUACACUUGGUGGAUGGCUACCAGGGCAAAGGGAAGCGAUUCUUCUUGGCAACCAAGAGAGACAUUGCCCUCGUCAACAAGAGUUGUGACUUCUUGAGAAGCGAGUACGGUGUGCCACCGCACUGGCGGCAAGACGAGAACAAAGGGAUGGUGAGAAACAACGAGGGGCGGUGGGUGGUGCCAGAGAGGCCUAGAGUGGAGGCCCAUCCAGACGACACGGCCCACCACCUUGAACAAGUGCUCAAAAUUGCGAGUUCCCAUCAAGUGGAAGCACUUUGAAUUUGAUGUGGUACAACAUCUACCCACUAACCCAUGUCUCGGUCGUGGGUCUUAUCUUUUCAUUGUCCUACAUAUAUAUAAACGUGCGAAUCCUUUGUGAUAUAAUUUCAAGAGUGUGUCUAUAUAUUGAAACAUUUUUUAAAUAAAUUUUAUCAUAUUCGCCAAAAUGAAAAAG